UUCAAGGCAUCCAUCUCUGGGCACUCAGCAGUUGUGCCACCACAGCAGCUGUGUGCAGGGCUGUCCCAAGUCACGACAGCAAAAGAGAGCUGCACAGGCACUUUUCAUGGCAAAGACGGAAUGAAAAUGUCCUCAGGACUGGAGCAUGAGAGAAAAUGGCAUUUACUGUUUACACUUUUUGGAACCUGCGCAAGUGCAAAACACGAUCAGAGCAGCUGUGAAGUGAAACAUAACCUGGCGGUCAGACACUCACGCCACACUGAUUGCACCCAGAAGGAGACUGAGGACAGGAUGGAAGGCAGAUCCAUAGAUGCUGAACUGCAGAAUUCUGCCUUCUGACAAGAGAAAAGUUCUGGAAUCCAACUGUUCAUUUUUGGUUCCCCAUCCUGUGGGAACUGAAGUGACCACUCAGCCAGAAGGCAAGGAGGGGCAUGGCAGUGGCAACAGAGGCUUUAAACAAUCUUUUGUGCUGCCUGUGUGGAGCUCAGAAGUAUCCUGUGAAGAUUUAUGUGGGAAUUAGAUCAUGCCUGUGAUUACUACCCAUUGAACACAGGAAGAAGUGAAAACCUGUGGAUGUAAUUUUUAGCAAUUCUACAGAAGCCUACACCAAAAAUUACCAGUUUGGCAUCUGGCUUUGUGAAUAUACUAAUCUUACCAACAUUAAAAGCACUUAUAAUUGCACCCUGACCUUUAGAUUUUGGGACUUACACAGCUAAAAUAAUCUAAUUAUCCCAGGCUGUCUGCUGAUGAAUUAUCCUUUCAAAUUCUCCUAUUAACAGUCUGUAACUAUGAAAUAUACUGCACUACAUAUUUUUUUCCCAA
Long non-coding RNA from Catharus ustulatus (Swainson's thrush), 822 nucleotides. RefSeq lists it as uncharacterized. NCBI's taxonomy places the organism in Eukaryota, Metazoa, Chordata, Aves, Passeriformes, Turdidae. The transcript is spliced from 3 exons. The record is from RefSeq and is a predicted model, not a curated record.